UUUUCCAACAUAUUCUUCUGCCACAGAAUUCCAGAUGAAGCUCUCUGCUGCACCAUCAUCUGACUUGUAGCACAACGGAGGAGUAUGGAGCUGGUUGUAGUUCAUGUCCCAUGUGGAAGCCAUCCUCGCAAGGCAAUGUGAGGCUCAGUGCGCCCUUCCCUCUAAUCUUGGAGGAUCAGCCUGGCUCAGCUGCUGGCAGCAUUGCUGUUCCUGGCAGACUUCCCUUCCCAACACAGAUGUGUGCUGCGAUCCCCAGUCUGCUGCCCAGCACCCUGCAACCCUUUGCUGCUUCCCAAGAGACCGUGACAUGAAGCUAACCAUGGACUUGCUGUCACUUGCACUGUACUCAUAAAUGGUGAUGUUUGCAGCAACGUGCCACCAGUGCCACAUCUUAUCCCCUUCUACCUAAGUCUUCUGGUCUGGUGAAUGUAAGUACUGUGCACAACCAGCUACACCAUAGUACACUUUUAAUCCUACUGCCUUUUGUGUGGGUGUCGUGGAUCUGUGAUAGGUUGAAGCCCCACACAGUGCAGCAGGAGCAUUGUAUCUGAGUGUGCUGUGUCACCCUGGCUCUGAGGGAAAGGGGCCAGUGGGAUUCCCUGAAUUUAAUUUAACAAAGGUGUCUGAGGUUGGCAGUCCUGCCUCAGCUCAGAGCUGCUGUGGGUGCUUCUGGCUCCCACAGGGCUCUUUGGAAACGCAGAUGCUUUCCAGCAUUAGGUCCACAGUGGGUGGUUUGUAGUGUUAAAUACAGCUCAUGAGGAUGAAAUCAUGUAGAUAAAAGGAAUAAAGCUCCUUCUUCUGGCUGAGCCCCUUGGAUC
This 818-nucleotide long non-coding RNA is filed under the name Coturnix japonica (Japanese quail). RNAcentral describes it as "lncRNA (ENSCJPG00005000397.1)". Lineage: Eukaryota; Metazoa; Chordata; Aves; Galliformes; Phasianidae. The record is from RNAcentral.